Molecule: long non-coding RNA, 1086 nt
Organism: Eublepharis macularius
Lineage: Eukaryota; Metazoa; Chordata; Lepidosauria; Squamata; Eublepharidae
Exons: 2
Source: RefSeq, a predicted model, not a curated record
UGAGGAAGUUUCCUUGCAAAGGCUCCAUCUGAGCUCCAGACAGCUGAACCAUGAAGGCCGCUCUGUUUGUUACUGUCAUUCUGAUGAUGAAUCUUAUUGCAGCAGUAACCUGCACGGAGAAAUCCAGCCCAGAACCUAAAGCAACUACUACGUCUCCUCCGCCAGGCAACCAGGCCAUGUUGUUCUUCCCUGCGCCAGCUUGUUUUCUACUGUCAUUCAUGCUGGCCUUGGGUCAUCUUCUGAAAGUAUUCUGAGCCUCAGAUGGUAAUCCUAGGAGGAUCGUCCCCGUCUUAUCCACUUUGGAAGAGACCUCCUCACCACUGCUGACAACCUGACAAGCCAGCUCUGCUCUAAUUGUUAUCCUUCCAUAAUGUUGUACCAUAUGCUCAUCUCUGUGACCUGAAGCUCCGUGGCUCACUCUUCUCCACAGUGGCCACUUACCUGCAAAAUAAACACCAGAAAGAUUGCCUGACCUAGAUCCAAGUACCAUGGGUUCAUACAAAGAAAGCCAGAAUGAUGGGUGGAUUCUGUGUCCCCACCACCACCGAAGGAGGCCUGCUUAGAAACAAUCAACACACCAAAGACUUAAUAUGUUUUGAUGCCCAAGGCAGAAAAUCCAAACAAUUUAGGCCACAACCUGGCAGAAGGUGCUCUUGUUCAUUGCAAUGGGCGUGUGCGGAAGAACAUCCCAGAGAAUCAUGUCCAUGAUAAAUCAAGAUCUGCCAUCUUUAAUAGUACCCCAGAUCAGCCACCUGAAGCGACCUGUGUUCUGUGUCUCCUAAGAAGGUCUGCUGCAUAUUCUUGUCUGGCUCCAGAAGCAUUUGGGGAAAUGACCACCGGUCAAGUUUGGACAUCCCGUCCUUGAGUUGCGCAGUCUGGGAAGAUGAACUUUCUGGUGAACUGGCAAACCUCACCUCACUGGAUUGCGGAAUGUAGUUCAAGACUCGAUGGAAACAUUGCAAGCUAAAAAUGAUACCUCUACAAAUUCUGCUGCCUUCAUAAUCCCCCCUCUCCCCGCCCAGGCCAGGGUGCUGUCUGCUUAGUUAAAUCAAUGAAGUAAAGCCUUCAUAGCUGGCAUAAUCUGUC